Long non-coding RNA from Herpailurus yagouaroundi (jaguarundi), 543 nucleotides. RefSeq lists it as uncharacterized. The transcript is spliced from 2 exons. The record is from RefSeq and is a predicted model, not a curated record. NCBI's taxonomy places the organism in Eukaryota, Metazoa, Chordata, Mammalia, Carnivora, Felidae.
CGCUAGGCCGCCCUGACCCUCACCCCACAUCUAAUCCUCUUGGGAUGAUUUUGGCCAAAGCCCUUCCUGUCUCUUGAACCCGAAAAGCCGCCUGAUAGCCCAGCCAUAGGCACUUCCUGGACUGCCGAGCGUCUGGGACAUGCAGAGCCACAGUCACCGCCGCAGCUGCAGAGGUCUGACAGAUUUAUGCUCUGCUUCUACACCAGUGGGUUUGGAGAUUUACACUGGGUGGGGCAGGGCACCGGUGAAAGGGAGAUGCAAAUGCCUCGUCUUAAAGCACUUACCCAGGGAACAGCCAGCAGGCCCUGCGGUGAACAAUCAGGAUGGCUGGGGGGAUUACCUGCUCAGCUGUCGUCCCUAAGCAGAGAAGUGUCAGAGGGGACCGGAGAGCCCAGGAAGCACGCACGUGAGGGCACGGCAAGAAGCGGCUACGUGCAAGCCAGAAAGAGAACUCACCGGAAACUGAACUCACCGACCCCCCUCACCUUGGACUCCCAAGCCUCCAGAACUGUGAGAAAUAAAUGUGUGUUGCUUACGCCCCCA